AUUGAAAAUGGAUUUCCCCAAUGGGCAGCGAUAGAGGCCUGCGCUUCCUGAGCACUGUAAUCAAUCGGCUGCCGAGGCGCGGGGCCCUCCUCGCUUAACCAUUCCCUGCCCGACACGGGGAAGGCUGCAGAGAGCUCUGUGGGCGCUCACAUGUUUUCCGCGUGUCGGUCACUGUGCUGCGCCCCUGCAGCAAUUGAGCCAACUAAAGCAUCUGCUGCCUCGAUGGAUAUGCACUGUAGCCCAGGGAACAUGAAUGGUGUGCUGGCUGGCUGUGGUGGAAGCUCCCUGACUCCUGGCCCCACCGCCCUUCCCCAUGCCUGCUGUGGUGACGCCCUGUACGAAGAUCUGACCUCUUACUUCUUUGGAAGGAGAGGAUGAGAUUACCAGAGCUUUGGAUCCAUUUUUGGAUCAAAUGGAAACCGCAAGCUAAUCUUCAGCAUGUCCCUCUCCUCUUACAAACGCUGGCCUCGCUGUCUGGGCGGGGCUCACAGUCCCAGGCUGGAGCGGAAGUGGAAGGUCACAUGCUCAGGAGGCCUGUGGAGCCCUCUUCCUCCUCAGCAGCACUCUGUGUACCUGGAGAAGCCGGAGAAGCCGUGGAUCCACGUACAACUCCAAUGUCACUUCCUUGGAUGAUGCCCCAGGCAGAGUGGCCUGCACUCUCCUCCUUUCUCCCACUGGACUUGUCAUUGGUCACACGUUUUUGCUCACUUGUCCCAGUUCUCAAUAGGACUGUGGGCUCCUCCAGGGAAAAGAUUUCCUUGUGUCAGUGCCUGAUGCUCAGGAGGGCUAAAUAGAUUUUAGACCUUAUGUUGCUUUGUUCCAUGGUACUCAGACAGGUGUGCAUAAGAAUUAUGUGAAAAAUAAAUGCAAAUGCAGAUCCCAGGCCUCAGCCUGGUGAGUUUUAAAAAUCUGCUUCUUUUACCGAGACUACGCAAUUAUGAUGCACAUAUGUUCCCAGCCCACACUAAGAAAUCCAGAAUUGUUCAUCUUCUUGGUGGGGAAACAGAGGGCUAGAGUUACAUGAUUUGCUUCUGGGUCUGUAGCUCCUUAGUAUAAUGAUGAGACCAUGGUUUUUCAGAUAGAACCUUUUCACAUUCCUACAAAGCUAAAUAAGCUAAUCACAGCCACACUGACAACUGCUGUAAGAAAUAUUAAAAACACUUUGAACUGACAUCACUGCACACCACAUUUUAAAAUAGUGACAAGACCGUCCACAGUUAGAUGCUUCUGUUAAACUGGUUUAUAUCCAGACCUCUCCACCCUUUCCUGUCACUGCUAGAAUCUCCCUAGAAUUUCAAGUGAUUUCUUACUGACAGGAGAACAAGUUCUUUGGCAGUUUCUGCCUUUAAAUGUUAUUUGUCUCGAUGGUGUUUACAAAAGUCCAUUCACCACAGCCUCUAUUUCUGCCAGAGUCCUUGGACCCCCUUCUGAUGCUCACGCUUUAUGGAGGCAGAAAUGGGGUCUCCCAGUAGACCCCCUGUUCAGGUAUCUGGUUCCUGCCUAUUUCUUCAGGAAAUCCUUAUUUGCAGGCAGUUGUUUGGAGAGCACUGUGUGUGCUGAUUCCUGCCUUGGGCAGCAGGUGCCACCUAGAGGGCCACCAUGUCUUCAGUAACACAGCCCAAGGAGACUCAGCGGACCUCGACAGGGCUCACGCCAGCAGUUUUGGUGCUGUAGGAGCAGAGAGGAGGGCUGCCAGGUGAGCCUGCAGGGACAGAGGAGGUCUGGUGGUUCAUAGCGCUCAGGGCCCAGCCUUGCUUGAUGUGAUUCUGUAGUAGGAACCAGGCAGGAGAGGAGCGCUAUGUCUUGCCACAAGGUGUCAGUAGUGGGCUGGCCAGGCGAUGGUUCUCUUAGCGGGUGCUAGGAGGACGUCCCAGCACACAGGGACGGAGCUCUCUGGUUGCUUUUCAAAAUUCCUAGUUUGACACUGCCUUUCCUAUUAGCUGGAGCAAGAUGAUUAAGUUACCAGAAGAUCCUCCCUCAGAUCUCCCCUCAGUCCUGCCUAUGAACUAACCUCAUACUUCUCUCAGCCUUUGGAAGAGUGAGAUUGCUCCUAUCAGGCAUCCUGACCACUCCUGCACUGCAGCUUGAAAAGGUCGAGGCAUUUGGAGGAUUCUGGGCUAACACCAGAGAGACAACAGUGUAGGGAGUGUGUGGAGACAGAAUAGUGUGGGCCAGCCAUUUUUUUAAAAUCUGAAGGUAAGUUCUAGCUUGUCUGCUUGCUAGCUGCUUACUGGCUGUCUGAGUUUGUUUCCCUGACUGUAAAAUGGCAUCUUCCCAUUUUCUCCAGUGCUAACAGUCAGAGGGUUCUUAUCUGGGUCAAACGAAAUAAACUGAUUCGCAAACUAUGAGGUGCUGGGUAGAUGUGGGUGCAGCUGUUGAGGCUCAUCUACCCGAGCUGCGUCGUGGAGCUUCCAGCAGACAAGAGGCACAGACACUGCAGCAGGAGGAAGUGGCUGAGUCUUCUCAGAGCAGGUCAUGUGCAGUCUCCAGUGUGAGCUGCCAGCCAUGAACUUCUGAUCCAGCCUGAUAGAGUCAUCUUCCAACUAGAUCCUUCCUGGAUGCCUUUCCAUGGCUGGUGGCCAGGGGGAAAGCUGGCAGUGGAUGCUUGGUCUUCCUUUACUGAGCCUGCUUUUCCAUAUUGGAAGAAGAUGAAAUGAACAUUUCAGAACGUAAGUUUUUCCUGCAGGACAUUAUCCCCGAUGGUGGAGUGAUGGAGAAAAAUAUGAGAUGAAGUCAGGGGAUAACUGAGUACGUACUGAUUUAUAAACCCAUGGAACUGAAUGAAAGCAUUUUUUCCACUGGUGGGGCUAUUUAUGAUGUCCUGGCUGGCUGAAUCCCAAAGUGGAUCAGGCUUCGGUUCCCGAGCAAUAGAAAUAGCGAGACUUAAUUUUCUCCUUUGUGCCUCUGUUUAAAACAUAGGACCCAGCUCAUGUCAAAGUCCAUCCCAGGCACAGGCUGAUCCAAAUCUCACCUUUGUGGUGAAAGGGCACUGGGACACGGGCACGACACAUGGGGAUGAUGGUGAUGAGGAGCUGAGGCUGUCGCUACUGGUCAGUGCUCUGCAGAACUCUCUCAAUGGCCUGCCUUUGGUGGACAAUGCCCCCUGAGCAGUUCUGAUGGGAUUUU
This is a long non-coding RNA of Chinchilla lanigera (long-tailed chinchilla), 3126 nucleotides long. RefSeq lists it as uncharacterized. The transcript has 3 exons. NCBI's taxonomy places the organism in Eukaryota, Metazoa, Chordata, Mammalia, Rodentia, Chinchillidae. The record is from RefSeq and is a predicted model, not a curated record.